ACUCCCGACAAUGGAUAUUUCGAUUCUCGAAUCGAUGAAGAACAUAGCACAAUGCGAUACUUGGUGUGAAUUGCAUAAUCCCGUGAACCAUUGAGUUUUAGAACAAAGUUGCGCCCAAAGCCACUAGGCUAAGGGCACAUCUACCCAGGUGUCAUGCACAAUGUCGCGUUCAACACAAGCAAUGAAUUUGUGUUGAGGAGCGGAAGUUGGCCCCCCAUGCUAUCUCAGCCUGGUCGGCCAAAAAAUGGCCUUGAGUGACGGACAUCAUGAUCUAUGGUGGUUUUGAACCCCUUUCGACCUAGACUAGCGUCAUCGUCAACCAUUCAAGUUGUACAAACCCUUGUGUGUUGCAUAUGACGCCCACUUUGCGACCCCAAGUCGGGCGGGACUACUCGCCGAGUUUAAGCAUAUCAAUAAGCAGAGGAAAAGAAACUUACAACGAUUACCAUAUUGAUGGUGAGUGAAUCAGGAUCAACCCAACUUGAGAAUCAGGUGACUUCAUUAUCCAAAUUAUAACUUGUAGAAGCGUCAUCAUCGAGGGAUUGGUCCCAUAACCCCUAUGGAGGUGCCAGAGAGGGUGAAAGCCCCGACGUGUUCGGACACUGUCGCACCAUUCGGCGUUGUCGGCAAGUCUGGUUGUUUGGGAAUGCAACCCUAAUUUUAUCCAAGGCUAAAUAAUGGUGAAACCCGAUAGCGAACAAGUACUGCAAGGGAAAGAUGAAAAAGACUUUGAAAGUGAGUCAAAGAGUGCUUGAAAUUAUUGGGAGGGAAGCGGAUGGAGGUUGGCAAUGAAAAAGACUCUAGAUGUCAACCGAUGCAGAUUAUGAUGGUGGCUCAAGCCCGAGUCGUUUACAUGCUUGUGGAUACGUCAUCGUCGUGAUUGUGGUGGGUAGUGCGCGCCUUCAGCGUACCUAUGAAAAUUGCACGCUCCCGGCGUCUGCCUGUUGGCUCCUUAUUUGGCCCAUCUUGAAACACAGACCAAGAAGUCAUGUGUACGAGUCAAUGGGUGGAUAAACCCAUAAGGUGCAAGGAAGUUGAUUAGUGGGAUCCCCUUGUGGGUUACACCGCCAGCCGACCUAAACCUUUCGGGAAGGGUUCAAGUGUGUGCAUACUUGCCAGGACCCAAAAGAUGGUGAACUAUGCCUGAGCGGGGCAAAGCCAGUGGAAACUCUGGUGGAGGCUCACAACGAUAUAGACGUGCAAAUCAUUCGUCUGACUUGGGUAUAGGGGUGAAAGACUAAUCGAACCAUCUAAUAGUCGGUUCCCUCCAAAGUUUCCUUCAAGAUAGCUGAAGAUCGAGCACAAAUUCUAUCGGAAAAAAACCAAUUAUUAUAGGCAUCGGGGGUGCAACACCCUCGACCCAUUUUCAAACUUUAAAAUAGGUAGGAUGGUACAUGCAGUUGCUUUGUUGAGCGGUAGCAUGGAAUCGAGAGCUCCAACUGAGCCAUUUUUUGUAUGCAGAACUGGCGAUGCAGGUUGAAUCGUAAGCAGUGCCCAGCUACACGCUAACCUAAAACUGACAAAUGGUGUUGGUCGAUUAAAACAAACGGACAGUGGUUAUGGAAGUCGAAAUUCGCUAAAGAGUCUAUAACAACUCACCUGUCGAAUCAACUAGCCCCGAAAAUGGAUCGUACUUAAGCGUGUGACCCACACUUGGUCAUUGGGGCAAAUGUCAUACCCUAAUGAGUAGGAAGGCAUAGCGGUAGCUAAAAAACUUGGGGCAUGAGCCCUGGUGGAGCUCCGGAGUAGUAGCAAAUAUUCAAAUGAGAACUCUGAAGGCCUAAUAUUGGAGAAGUUCCAUGUGAACGACACUUGCACAUGGGUUAAGCGAUCCUAAGAUUCGGGGCAACCUUGUCAAAAACGCGAACUACGCGAACUCGAAAUGGAAUCGAGAUGCGGAGGUUGACGACAACGUUAGGGAAGUUUGGAGACACGGCAGUUGCUUUUGAAGAGUUAUUUUUAAUGUUUAACAACUUGCCUACCAUGGAAACAACUUAGCCAAAUAUUGGGUUCAGUAGCUGGAAGAGCACCGCAUGUCGCAUGGUGUCCAGUGGACCCCCAACGGCCCUUGAAAAUCCAAAGAACCAAGUGCUGACAACGCCCGGUCGUACUCAUAACCACAUUAGAUCUCUAAGGUGAACAACUUAUUGUCGAUUGAGCAAUGUAGGCAACAAAAGUCAGCAAAAUAUACCCAUAACCUCGGGAAAAGGAUUCCCUCUGAAGACCGGGCUCAAGAGUCUUUGUCUCGAACCCGCUGGUUCUCGGUGGAUUGCUCAAGAUACUUUCGACAUGCCGAUUGGGGCAUGGACUGGGAAUGGUCCCUCUAGGGGCUUUCCCGGACGUUAAACAGUCGACUCAGAAUUGGUAGGAAUAAGGGGAAGUCGAUUGUUCAAUUAAAAGAAAUCAUUGCGAUGGUCCUUACGGAUGCUAACACAAUGUGAUUUCUGCUCAAUGCUCUGAAUGUUAAAGUGAAGAAUUUCAACCAAGUGUCGGUAAGCAGCGGGAGUAACUAUUACUCUUUUAAGGUGGCCAAAUGACUCGUCAUCUAAUUAGUAAUGCGCAUAAAUGGAUUAACGAGAUUCCCACUGUUCAAGUCUGCUAUCCAAUGAAACCACAGCCAAGAGAACGGGCUUGGCAAAAUCAACAAAGAAAGGAGAAACCCUGUUGAGCUUAACCCUAGUCUGACUUUGUGAAAUGACUUGAGAGGUAUAGGAUUAGUGGGAGGUACUUUCGUCGAAAGUAAAAUACUACUAUUUUUAUCAUUAUUUUACUUAUUCCAUGAGUUGGAAGCGGAGCCCUGCUCCUCUUUUUGGAUCCAACGGUCAUCUUGACUGCCUGAUCCGAGCGGAAGACAUUGUUAGGUGAGGAGUUUUGCUGGGGUGGCACGUUUGUUAAAAGAUAAUGCAGGUGUCUUAAGAUGAGCUCAACGAGAACAUAAAUCUCAUGUGGAACAAAAGAGUAAAAGCUCAUUUGAUUCUUAUUUCAGUACGAAUAUGAACUGUGAAAGCAUGGUGAUCGUUUAGACCUUCAAAAUUUGAAGCUAGAGGUGUUAGAAAAUUUACCAUAGGGAAAAUUGGCUUGUGGCAGCCAAGUGUUCGUAGUGAUGUUGCUUUUUCUAUCCUUCAAUGUUGGCUCUUCCUAUCAUUGUGAUGGCUCUUCCAAUUAUUGUGAAGCAGAAUUCACCAAGUGUUGGAUUGUUCACCCACCAAUAGAAAACGUGAGUUGGGUUUAGACCAUCGUGAGACAGGUUAAAUUUACCCUACUGAUGAUAGUGUCGUGAUAGUAAUUCAACCUAAUACGAGAGGAACUGUUGAUUCACACAAUUGGUCAUCGCACUUGGUUGAAAAGCCAGUGCCCUGAAGCUACCGUGUGCAGGAUUAUGAUUGAACGCCUCUAAGUUAGAAUCUAGGUUAGAGAGUCGGCGCAUAAGCCCGUCGCCCGAUUACUGACCUGCAGUAAGGACCUUUUGGUCCCUAAAGUCACAUGCCAUUUGU
RNAcentral lists this ribosomal RNA (3494 nucleotides) under Berberis thunbergii. RNAcentral describes it as "eukaryotic LSU rRNA". The stretch from base 369 to 3494 matches the Rfam family "Eukaryotic large subunit ribosomal RNA". Lineage: Eukaryota; Viridiplantae; Streptophyta; Magnoliopsida; Ranunculales; Berberidaceae. The record is from RNAcentral.